GAAAAAGUAGUUGCUGAGUCAGUUUGUGUGGUCAUGUUUUGUUUUGAGCAAGAAGAUCGACAGUUUGUGACAGAAGAAGGAGGAGCUAAUGAAGAGUAGAAUUGGGCAGCUCUGAUACCAUGAUGGAAGAAUUGUUUUCUACAAUGUUGUUCUUCUAUUUUAUUAAUCAAUCACGCUGUACAUAUAGGUCUACGAGAAACUAAUUCAAGCCUGAUUACAAGGAAAGAUAAGUUACAGAGAAGGAUAAGUUACAGGGAAAGAUAAAGAUAAGUUUAGUUGUUGCUGAAUAUAUGGAAGUUCAACCAUGAAGGACUUGAUCUUCAUUCUGAUAAUGUUGAUCUUCAUUCUGAUAUAUAUCUUCAUUCUUCAAUCUGAUAUAUUCU
RNAcentral lists this long non-coding RNA (383 nucleotides) under Populus tremula. Its description in RNAcentral is "long non-coding RNA (PTRE_LNC003048)". The record is from RNAcentral. Lineage: Eukaryota; Viridiplantae; Streptophyta; Magnoliopsida; Malpighiales; Salicaceae.